CCUACGGGAGGCAGCAGUGGGGAAUAUUGGACAAUGGGCGAAAGCCUGAUCCAGCCAUGCCGCGUGUGUGAAGAAGGCCUUCGGGUUGUAAAGCACUUUCAGUGGGGAAGAAAGCCUUGGGGCUAAUACCCUCGAGGAAGGACAUCACCCACAGAAGAAGCACCGGCUAACUCCGUGCCAGCAGCCGCGGUAAUACGGAGGGUGCGAGCGUUAAUCGGAAUUACUGGGCGUAAAGCGCGCGUAGGCGGUCUGAUAAGCCGGUUGUGAAAGCCCCGGGCUCAACCUGGGAACGGCAUCCGGAACUGUCAGGCUAGAGUGCAGGAGAGGAAGGUAGAAUUCCCGGUGUAGCGGUGAAAUGCGUAGAGAUCGGGAGGAAUACCAGUGGCGAAGGCGGCCUUCUGGACUGACACUGACGCUGAGGUGCGAAAGCGUGGGUAGCAGACAGGAUUAGAUACCCUAGUAGUC
This 465-nucleotide ribosomal RNA is filed under the name Vreelandella stevensii. Its description in RNAcentral is "partial 16S ribosomal RNA". It matches the Rfam family "Bacterial small subunit ribosomal RNA", at positions 338 to 795 of the family's 1533-position model. The record is from RNAcentral. Lineage: Bacteria; Pseudomonadati; Pseudomonadota; Gammaproteobacteria; Oceanospirillales; Halomonadaceae.